GGUUUUCUGCAGAGUCCACUCUGUGGUCUGCAGACUCUGAGGUUGAUGAGCUGCAGGUUGUCAGAGAUCAGCUGUUCUUCUCUGGUCUCAGCUCUGAAGUCCAACCCCUCCCUCCUGAAACAUCUGAAACUUCUGGAGCUGAGCUGGAACCGUGUGCAGGAUUCAGGAGUUUCUCAGCUGUGUGGUUUUCUGCAGAGUCCACUCUGUGGUCUGCAGACUCUGAGCUUGUGGGGCUGCAGUUUGUCAAAGAUCAGCUGUUCUUCUCUGGCCUCAGCUCUGAAGUCC
Molecule: long non-coding RNA, 285 nt
Organism: Salarias fasciatus (jewelled blenny)
Lineage: Eukaryota; Metazoa; Chordata; Actinopteri; Blenniiformes; Blenniidae
Exons: 3
Source: RefSeq, a predicted model, not a curated record